Molecule: ribosomal RNA, 303 nt
Filed under: uncultured bacterium
Lineage: Bacteria
Description: partial 16S ribosomal RNA
Rfam family: Bacterial small subunit ribosomal RNA
Source: RNAcentral
AGCAGUAGCCGCGGUAAUACAGAGGGUGCGAGCGUUAAUCGGAUUUACUGGGCGUAAAGCGUGCGUAGGCGGCUUUUUAAGUCGGAUGUGAAAUCCCUGAGCUUAACUUAGGAAUUGCAUUCGAUACUGGGAAGCUAGAGUAUGGGAGAGGAUGGUAGAAUUCCAGGUGUAGCGGUGAAAUGCGUAGAGAUCUGGAGGAAUACCGAUGGCGAAGGCAGCCAUCUAGCCUAAUACUGACGCUGAGGUACGAAAGCAUGGGGAGCAAACAGGAUUAGAUACCCCCGUAGUCCCUGUCUCUUAUAC